RNAcentral lists this ribosomal RNA (214 nucleotides) under uncultured eukaryote. RNAcentral's name for it is "partial 18S ribosomal RNA". The record is from RNAcentral.
UCGUGGAGUGAUCUGUCUGCUUAAUUGCGUUUCAGAUAAAAAAGAUAAAAAAAGAUAUAGGUUAAGUUACACUUUACAGUGUUUCCUUUAGCUGAGUCUACUAUCUUUGAAAGCAACGAACGUGACCGCAACCCUUUGUUGUGUACACACGUGUACAUUCAAACUAAGGGGACCGCCAGGGUUGUAAAACCGGAGGAAGGUUGCGGCAAUAACA